GCAACGAGCGCUACCCUUGCCCCGUGUUACUAACAGGUCAAGCUGACGACUCUCGGGGGACUGCCGGCGUCAAGCCGGAGGAAGGUGGGGACGACGUCAAGUCAUCAUGGCCCAUGUGCCCAGGGCCACUCCCGUGUUGCAAUGGCCAGGACAGAGGGCAGCAAGACGGCAAGGUGGAGAGAAUCCCAGAAGCGUGGUUCUAGUUCGGAGAGUGGAAUUCAAAUCGCCGGCAUGAAGCCGGAAUCGCUAGUAAU
Molecule: ribosomal RNA, 254 nt
Filed under: uncultured bacterium
Lineage: Bacteria
Description: partial 16S ribosomal RNA
Rfam family: Bacterial small subunit ribosomal RNA
Source: RNAcentral